UAUCCCCUUUCUCUAAAACUCCACACGUCCCACUCAGACUGCCACUCGCCUUCUCCUCGUCGGCGAAAUGCUCGCCAUCCCCGCCGUCUCCGCCUCUCCCCGCUUUCCCCUCCCGUUCCUCCCCGUCCUGAACCCCCGCCCUCCUCUCAUCCCCCCUCUCCGCCGCCGCUGCCUCUACAGACACCGCGUGCGCCGCCAAUGCCACGGCGGCGGUGGCCCACCGCUCCACCUCCUCCACCCCGUCGCCAGUCGGCGCACGGGCAUCGUGAUCGACGUCGACGAGGUCCAAGACAUUGGCGACCGAGACCUCCCAGUAGGUCUAUCCUUCACCCGGAGGCUCCCGCCGGUGCUCACCCUCGUGGACGGCAUUGCAGCGCUGCGGCGGGCCACCCAGGAGUUGAAGGCCAGCCCGCCUGCCGCCGACAGCGGUGUGAUCCGAUUCGAGGUACUUGUUCCACCCAGCACGAAGGCACUCAAAUGGUUGUGCUCUCAGUUUAGGGGGUCAUCACUGUUCCCUCAGUUCUAUCUAUCAAGAAAGCUAAGCUCCGAUCCAUCAAUUCAACUGGACAUAUCUGGUGUUGGUUCUGCACUAUGCUUGCAUGGUUCCUCACAUGCAAAAAAUGGGUGUGAUUUGAUAUCAAGAUAUAUUUCAUUUGAUUCAGAGUUCAUAGGAGCUUAUGGAUCAGUAGGCAUGAAGUGUGACAAGGAGUUGUUAUCAAUAGAGGAAAAUGCUGAUUCAUUUUACUUUUUUAUUCCUCAGGUUGAGUUGACUGAAUUUGAUGGCUAUUCCGUGCUAUCAUCAACUAUGGUUUGGGAUCAUUCUGUAUCUCAUACAUUUGAGGAUUCGGUUUGUUUGUCUGAAUCUUGUUUCAAUCAGGUAUGUGGUAGCUACGAUUCUACAGCCAGCACCUGUUAUGAAGGCAUGAUGAAGAGUUACAUUGGAGAAUCGUAUGUGUUAGAGACUGGGAAUGCUCAGUUGGUAUACUUGGAUGCCGAAGUUCUUGCCAAAGUGAAUGCCACAACUAGCAUGCAAAAGGAGAAAUUUCUGAUGUCCAAGCAGUCAUUUAUUCGCGUUUCGGCACAGUUCUUAUUUUCUGCAAACAUGGACCUAUGCUCACAGAGCAACAAAACGGAAUCGUUUAUUAAGAGCUGCUCUAACAUUAAUUCAGCAUGGGCAUCCCUUAUAGUUGAAGAAUGCGUCAGGCUUGGUUUCACGUACUUCUGUAUAGCUCCAGGGUCAAGGUCAUCCCCACUUGCACUUUCUGCUACAGGCCAUCCUUUGACAACUUGCAUAUCGUGUUAUGAUGAACGUUCACUUGGAUUUCAUGCCGUGGGAUAUGGGAGAGGUUGUAGAAAGCCUGCAAUAGUAAUUACGUCAUCAGGAACUGCUGUAUCAAAUCUUUUCCCUUCGGUGGUGGAGGCAAGUCAAGAUUUCAUACCAGUUGUGUUACUAACAGCUGAUCGUCCUCCUGAGCUGCAUGAUGCUGGAGCCAACCAAGCGAUUAAUCAGGUCAAUCAUUUUGGUAACUAUGUGAGAUAUUUUUUUAAUCUCCCUCCACCUGGUGAUCAGAUGUAUGCAAGAGUGAUUCUUACAACAGUUGAUUCAGCAGCCUAUAAUGCAAUGCAAGCACCACAAGGUCCAGUGCAUAUAAACUGUGCUUUUAGAGAACCACUAGAUCACAGCAAUCAAGGUUGGAGUUUUGAUUGUUUGAGAGGGCUGGACAGGUGGUUUAGAAAUAAUGAACCAUAUACUAGAUACCUGGGAAUGAAAAUGGUCUCUGCAUUUGGUAAUUAUUCGUGUUCAACAAUAGAGGUUCUAGAUAUCAUAAAAAAGGCAAACAAAGGGCUUCUAUUAAUUGGAGCUGUUCAUAAAGAAGAUGAUAUGUGGGCUGUGGCUUUACUAGCUAGACACCUUUCCUGGCCAGUUGCCGCUGACAUUCUGUCUGGACUGCGAAUGAGGAAAGUUCUAAAUUCAUUUCCAGAACUUGAUAAGAAUAUUUUGUUUAUAGACUACAUAGAUCAAAUUCUUCUGUCGGACUCUGUAAAAAGCUGGAUAAAUCCAGAUGUUAUUGUCCAGAUUGGAAGCCGGAUUACUAGCAAACGCGUGGAAAUGUUUCUCGAGUCUUGCUUCCCAUCUUCUUACAUCUUGAUUGAUACGCAUCCGUGCCGCCAUGAUCCUUCACAUGUUGUCACUCACAGAAUCCAGACUAGUGUAUCUGAAUUUGCUGCUAGUUUGUGCCAAUGUAAUUUAGAAAGGAAGACAAGCAGAUGGCAGGAUAUUUUGAUGGUUCUGAAUUCAGUGGUUUCACAGGAGAUAAUAUGUCAUGUACAUUCGGAGUCCUCACUUACAGAACCAUAUGUUGCUCAUGUAAUCGGAGAGGCACUUUACGGUGAUGCUGUCAUGUUUGUUGGGAAUAGCAUGGUCAUUCGAGACUUGAACAUGUUUGGGAAGGGCUGGCUUGAACACACCACCCACGGAGGUAACAUGAUAAUGCACAGUAUUCCUGACUUUGUUGGUGCAACUGUUGCUGGGAACAGAGGAGCAAGUGGUAUCGAUGGUUUGCUUAGCACGGCAAUUGGAUUUGCUGUUGGAUCAAACAAGCGUGUAUGCUGUGUUGUUGGUGACAUAUCUUUUCUUCAUGAUACAAAUGGACUAUCACUUCUCAACCAAAGGGACCAUAGGAAACCCAUGACAGUAAUUGUAAUCAACAACCAUGGUGGUGCAAUCUUCAGCCUUCUACCAGUUGCAAAAACAACGUCACCCCAAAUUUUGCAGAAAUACUUCUACACCUCACAUGAUAUAUCGAUUUCCAAACUCUGUGCUGCACACAGGGUAAAGCAUUUUUUAGUUCAAACAAAAACAGAACUUCAUGAUACCUUGCUGAAGACCCGUGCAGAACAUCUUGAUUGUGUGGUGGAAGUAGAGAACCACAUUGAUGAAAAUGCCAACUUUCAUAGAACUAUAAGUAUGUUCGUAGGCAAUACUGCAACCUACUAUCUGAAUUAUCUUCUCGGAGGUCAGACUAGGAGUGAUUUAGAUGGCAUGCAUAAUCGCAAAAUUCGUGCAGUGGAAUACAUGUUGUACAGAAUCCAGCUUUCUGCACCUCGUACUUCAGGGGCUUCAGAUAGUAGCUUUUCUCAUGAAGGCUUUAUUCUGAAGUUAUGUAUGGAUGCCAACAUUGUAGGAUUCGGAGAGGUUGCACCAAUUGAAAUUCACGAGGAGGAUAUGGUAGAUGUUGAAGAGCAACUUAGGUUUCUCUUCCACAGAGUGAAAGAUUGUGAGCUAAAUGUUGUUCCUUUGUUGAGAGGGUCUUUGUCCAAUUGGAUAUGGACAAGCAUUGGUAUUCCUCCUUCUUCGGUAUUUCCAAGUGUUAAGUGUGGCCUGGAGAUGGCCAUUCUUAAUUUGCUUGCAUCUCAGCAAAAAAUUAGUUUAUCUGAAAUCCUCACUGGUUCCAACCCAUUACUAGGAGAUCAGAGUUUGGUGGAAUAUAAUCAGAACAGAUCUACACGCAUACAGAUAUGUGCACUUUUAGACUCCUAUGGUACCCCGAUGGAGGUAGCACUAGCUGUGGCCAAACUUGUCGAGGAAGGCUUUACCACCGUGAAACUGAAGGUUGGGCGUCGUGAAACUCCUGCUGAAGAUGCAGCUGUCAUUGAAAAAAUAAGAGAAGUUGUAGGGUACAAGAUCAACAUCCGUGCUGAUGCAAAUCGGAAAUGGACAUAUGAGCAAGCAAUUGAAUUUGGAUCCAGGGUAAAAAGAUUUUGUUUGCAAUACAUUGAGGAACCAGUGAUCUCAGUAGAUGAUCUCAUCAAGUACUGUGAAAACAGUGGCUUGCCUGUUGCUUUAGACGAGAGUAUUGACAACCUUAAGGGGGAUCCAAUCGAUAAGCUUCAGCAAUUCGUACAUCCAGGAAUAGUUGCGGUUGUUAUAAAACCCAGUGUUGUUGGUGGCUUUGAGAGGGCAGCUCAUAUAGCAAAAUGGGCUCACAUGCAUGAUAAGAUGGCUGUCAUCAGUAGUGCGUACGAGAGUUCUGUAGGUUUGGCGACCUAUAUACAGUUUGCAUAUUAUGUUGACAGACAACAUGACCUAGUUGCCAGAAUAAAGAGAAAUGAUUCAUGUGGAAGUGUGGCUCAUGGGCUUGGAACAUAUCAAUGGUUAAGAGAAGAUGUAUCAGGACAGAAGUUAAAAAUCCAUGCCCCCUCGCUAGGUGAUGGAAUGGGAGCUUCAGUAGAAGAUGCCCAUGGCUAUCUCCAGCAUUUAAGUAUAAACAAUGAGAAGAUAGAAAGAACAUACAGUGAAGAAAAAAUAAAGUCAUAUUCUGUCCAAGUCGAUGGGGAUGAUUUUUCUUAUCUAGUUAAUCUUCAAGAGGCUGGUGAUUGUACAAAUGAUAAAGUUGUUCUUUUUCUUCAUGGAUUUCUUGGCACAAGUGAGGACUGGACUCCCAUGAUGAAAGCUCUCGCUCCCAGUGCACGGGUCAUUGCUGUUGACCUUCCUGGCCAUGGGAAAUCCCAAAUUCCCCAGCAUGAUGCUGAAAAUUUCAGUCAAAUGUCUGUUACAGUUCAAUCGAUUGCAGAUUUGUUGCUGAAGUUGAUAUACUGUAUAACUGAUGGAGAGGUGGUUGUUGUUGGCUACUCAAUGGGUGCAAGGAUUGCACUCCACAUGGCACUAAGUCAAAAUCAGAAGAUUAGUGGAGCUAUUUUGAUAUCGGGGAGUCCUGGUUUGAGACAUGAAGUAAGUAGAAGACGUCGUAGUGCUAUUGAUAAAUCAAGAGCUCAAUUCCUGUUGUCUUCCGGACUAGAAUGUUUUAUCGAGACAUGGUACUCUGGAAAAAUGUGGGCCAGUCUAAGAGGACAUCCACAAUUUGAUUCCCUCGUGAGGACACGCAGAAAGCACAGUAACAUUACAGAUCUAUCUAAGGUUCUUGCUGACUCGAGCGUAGGAAGACAAAAGUCCCUGUGGGAAGACCUGAAAGACUUGAAGAAGCCUCUCCUCAUCGUUACAGGUGAGAAGGACGUUAAAUUCAGAGAGAUAUCUGAGCAAAUGUGCAGCGAGAUAAGAAAGCACGGGGAACGUGAAGCCGAUUGCCGUGACAGGCAGGAGCUUUGUGAAAUGAUGGUUGUCCCAGAAAGUGGCCAUGCUGUGCACGUCGAGAACCCUCUUCCUUUAGUUAGAGCCAUCAGGAAGUUCUUGCUGAAGCUGCACAAGACAUGACGCCUUAGUGUCGGCAUACUACAAAAUGACAGAUCUAUCCUGGAGUUGACGGAUCUAUCCUUUAGUUUUGCCAUAUUGAGUCGACGGAAGAAAAUGUUUCCUCUGUAUCUCGUGAUGGUACUAGUUCAGUAGGGGACACCUUGCUACAUUUCACGCCGGACAUCUAUCGGUGCACGGGCCAUGAGCCCACAUGAAUUACUGGAGUAAUUAACCUGUCACUCAAGUGGGUUAACUAGAUGGAGCAGCUGAGCGAGAUUUCUCACGAGCGUCAAGUAAGCUGUAGAGGUACGUGGAUAGAGGGUCACCAUGAGCUGCAGGAGGACUCUUCUUGCAGUCGCUCUGCUCAUCUCCCUGCUCGCCCCCGUCGCUCAUGGUCGAUACGUGAAGGACCAAUCCAUACCGACCGGUGAUUCCCCUUCCGUGAUGAAAGGGUUACAACAAGGAGUUCACGGGGAACUCGACCGAGGGAAGACCAGGAAAUUUGAAAACCUGGGAGCCAAGAUGCCAAAUGGAGAAGAUGCACAAGAAUCUUUUGGAUCAAACACUCACAACGGAGCGAGUCUCGGUGUCGAGUCUAAUAAGGCUGCUCGCCGCGGAAGAGGUCCCGUUCCUCACCCGAAAAAACAUCCGUACCAGUGGUUUCAACAAGGAGUUCACGGGGAGCUCGACUGGGGGAAGACCAGGAAAUUUGAAAACGUGGGAGCCAAGAUGCCAAAUGGAGAAGAUGCACAAGAAUCGUUUGGAUCAAACACUCAUAAUGGAGCGAAUCUCGGUGUCGAGUCUAAUAAGGCUGCUCGCCGCGGAAGAGGUGCCGUCCCUCACCCGAAAAAACAUCCGUACCAGUGGUUUCAACAAGGAGUUCACGGGGAGCUCGACUGGGGGAAGACCAGGAAAUUUGAAAACGUGGGAGCCAAGAUGCCAAAUGGAGAAGAUGCACAAGAAUCUUUUGGAUCAAACACUCACAAUGGAGCGAGUCUCGGUGUCGAGUCUAAUAAGGCUGCUCGCCGCGGAGGAGGUCACAUUAAUAAACCCAAAAGGCACAACUAAAGCAUGUGUAGACAUAGAGCUACUGAAUGAUGCACAAGCCAACUAUCUCAAAAGUCCGGACCGAUGGGAAAAAAAAAGCUAGACAAUAUAUUUAUUUCAACACU
Non-coding RNA from Lolium perenne, 6363 nucleotides. The record is from RefSeq and is a predicted model, not a curated record. NCBI's taxonomy places the organism in Eukaryota, Viridiplantae, Streptophyta, Magnoliopsida, Poales, Poaceae.